This 254-nucleotide ribosomal RNA is filed under the name uncultured bacterium. Its description in RNAcentral is "partial 16S ribosomal RNA". It matches the Rfam family "Bacterial small subunit ribosomal RNA", at positions 524 to 776 of the family's 1533-position model. The record is from RNAcentral.
CACGUAGGGGGCAAGCGUUGUCCGGAUUUAUUGGGCGUAAAGAGCUCGUAGGCGGUGUGUCGCGUCGGCCGUGAAAACCUGCAGCUUAACUGUGGGCUUGCGGUCGAUACGGGCAUCACUGGAGUUCGGCAGGGGAGACUGGAAUUCCUGGUGUAGCGGUGAAAUGCGCAGAUAUCAGGAGGAACACCGGUGGCGAAGGCGGGUCUCUGGGACGUGACUGACGCUCAGGCUCGAAAGUAUGGGGAGCAAAAAGG